This 253-nucleotide ribosomal RNA is filed under the name uncultured bacterium. Its description in RNAcentral is "partial 16S ribosomal RNA". It matches the Rfam family "Bacterial small subunit ribosomal RNA", at positions 524 to 776 of the family's 1533-position model. The record is from RNAcentral.
UACGAAGGGGGCUAGCGUUGCUCGGAAUCACUGGGCGUAAAGCGCACGUAGGCGGGUCUUUAAGUCAGGGGUGAAAUCCUGGAGCUCAACUCCAGAACUGCCUUUGAUACUGAAGAUCUUGAGUUCGGGAGAGGUGAGUGGAACUGUGAGUGUAGAGGUGAAAUUCGUAGAUAUUGGGAAGAACACCGGUGGCGAAGGCGGCUCACUGGCUCGUAACUGACGCUCAUGCACGACAGCGUGGGGAUCAAACAGG